AUGUCCUCUCUGCGACAUGCCAUGCCCGUGGUCUUGGUCCUAGUGCAUGCCGUCUUGGCACUGGCACUCCAGGGCCCCGCCGCUGGUUCAGGCGAGGUCCCGGCGGUGAUUGUGUUCGGCGACUCCACCGCGGACACCGGCAACAACAACUUCAUCCAGACCGUAGCCAGGGGCAACUACGCUCCGUACGGGCGGGACUACGCCGGCGGCGUCGCCACCGGCCGCUUCUCCAAUGGCCGCCUCCCCGCCGACUUCGUCUCCGAGGCGCUGGGCCUGCCGCCCUCGGUGCCGGCGUACCUCGACCCCGCCCACACCAUCCACCAUCUCGCCUCGGGCGUCAGCUUCGCCUCCGCAGGCUCCGGACUGGACAACAUUACCGCGCAAAUCCCGUCGGCGAUGACCCUGAGCGAGCAGAUCGACCACUUCAGGCAGUACACGGAGCGGCUGAGACGGGCGAAGGGCGAGGCGGCGGCGCGCCGCAUCAUCGCCGGCGCCCUCUACAUCUUCAGCAUCGGCGCCAGCGACUUCCUGCAGAACUACCUGGUGUUCCCGGUCAGGGGCUACAGCUUCACCCCGGCGGAGUACGAGGCGUACCUCGUGGGCGCCGCGGAGGCGGCCGUGCGGGCCGUGCACGGGCUCGGCGCGCGCGCGGUCACCUUCGCCGGCCUGCCGCCGCUGGGGUGCCUGCCGCUGGAGAGGGCCGUCAACCUCCGCAUCCCCGGGGACUGCAACAGCGCGUACAACAUGGCGGCCGUGAGCUUCAACCGCAGGCUCGAGGGGAUGAUCGGCAGGCUCGGCCGGGAGCUUCCCGGGGCGCGGGUGGCGUACGUCGACCAGUACGGCCUCCUGUCGGCCAUGAUCGCCAGGCCGUGGGAAUAUGGGUUUGAGAACUCGGCCCAAGGAUGCUGUGGCAGUGGCACGGGGUAUGUGGAGACGGGGGCGCUGUGGAGCUUGAAGAGCGCGCUGGCGUGCGACGACGCCGGCAAAUAUGUCUUCUUCGACGCCGUCCAUCCGUCGGAGAGGGCGUACAGGAUGAUAGCUGGUGCGAUCCUAAAUGCCACGUCCCACUCGCGCUUGCACCGCUUCCACUGA
This 1092-nucleotide ribosomal RNA is filed under the name Triticum aestivum (bread wheat). RNAcentral's name for it is "partial small subunit ribosomal RNA". Lineage: Eukaryota; Viridiplantae; Streptophyta; Magnoliopsida; Poales; Poaceae. The record is from RNAcentral.